GACGAACGCUGGCGGCGUGCUUAACACAUGCAAGUCGAACGGAAAGGCCCUGCUUUUGUGGGGUGCUCGAGUGGCGAAUGGGUGAGUAACACGUGAGUAACCUGCCCUUGACUUUGGGAUAACUUCAGGAAACUGGGGCUAAUACCGGAUAGGAGCUCCUGCUGCAUGGUGGGGGUUGGAAAGUUUCGGCGGUAGGGGAUGGACUCGCGGCUUAUCAGCUUGUUGGUGGGGUAGUGGCUUACCAAGGCUUUGACGGGUAGCCGGCCUGAGAGGGUGACCGGCCACAUUGGGACUGAGAUACGGCCCAGACUCCUACGGGAGGCAGCAGUGGGGAAUAGUGCACAAUGGGCGGAAGCCUGAUGCAGCAACGCCGCGUGCGGGAUGACGGCCUUCGGGUUGUAAACCGCUUUCGCCUGUGACGAAGAGUGAGUGACGGUAAUGGGUAAAGAAGCACCGGCUAACUACGUG
Molecule: ribosomal RNA, 468 nt
Filed under: uncultured bacterium
Lineage: Bacteria
Description: partial 16S ribosomal RNA
Rfam family: Bacterial small subunit ribosomal RNA
Source: RNAcentral